This is a long non-coding RNA of Chiroxiphia lanceolata (lance-tailed manakin), 515 nucleotides long. RefSeq lists it as uncharacterized. The transcript is spliced from 3 exons. The record is from RefSeq and is a predicted model, not a curated record. NCBI's taxonomy places the organism in Eukaryota, Metazoa, Chordata, Aves, Passeriformes, Pipridae.
AGUCCCCCACAGCCAGGAGAGGUUUCCUGGCCACAGCCAUGCUUCAAGGCCAUGGUGCCUCACCAGCCUCUUUAUUACAGCAACUGAACUAAAUACCAACAACAUUCCAGUUCCAGCCAUCACAGAAGCUUUCCAAGACACCCUGUCAUAACCAGCCCUGUCAUAGCCAAACAAGGGCUGCUGGAGUCACAUGAGAGUUUUGGUGCCCCACCCCUUUGGUUAUCCAGGAGUCCCAAACUGUCCUCAGCCCGAUUGUCCCCAUGUAGGAACUAGAUUUGUUACCUGAUAAAAAAGUCCCUGAAGGGCUUCAAUGACAUGCAGGACCUUAGGACUCUCAAAACCUCAUCUCACUGGAUCAGGUGCCAGGUCACAUGAACAAAGCAUCAGAGCAGAGUAAUUCCCCAGGUCUGCAGGACAUCUGAAGACAUUUCUGAAGACCAGAUAAGAGGAAGCUGAAAAAUUCAGCUUCAGAACCACAUGUGUCUCUGAAACAAUAAAUGUUUUGAGUGAUCAGC